Molecule: transfer RNA, 70 nt
Filed under: Heterocephalus glaber (naked mole-rat)
Lineage: Eukaryota; Metazoa; Chordata; Mammalia; Rodentia; Bathyergidae
Rfam family: tRNA
About the family: Transfer RNA (tRNA) molecules are approximately 80 nucleotides in length. Their secondary structure includes four short double-helical elements and three loops (D, anti-codon, and T loops).
Source: Rfam by way of RNAcentral
GGGGGUGGCUCUGUGGUAGAGUGCUUGCCUAGCAUGCAUGAGGCCCUGGGCUCAAUCUCCAGCAUCCCCC